UACGGGGGGGGCAAGCGUUGUUCGGAAUUACUGGGCGUAAAGGGCUUGUAGGCGGCCAACUAAGUCCGACGUGAAAUCCCCAGGCUCAACCUGGGAACUGCGUCGGAUACUGGAUGGCUUGAAUUCGGGAGAGGGAUGCAGAAUUCCAGGUGUAGCGGUGAAAUGCGUAGAUAUCUGGAGGAAUACCGGUGGCGAAGGCGGCAUCCUGGACCGACAUUGACGCUGAGGAGCGAAAGCUAGGGGAGCAAAC
This 250-nucleotide ribosomal RNA is filed under the name uncultured bacterium. RNAcentral's name for it is "partial 16S ribosomal RNA". It matches the Rfam family "Bacterial small subunit ribosomal RNA", at positions 524 to 773 of the family's 1533-position model. The record is from RNAcentral.